UUAAUUCACUUUCCAAUCUAUUUGCUAACUAUUCAAACAAAAGCAAGCUGUUGCCAUCUGAACGUCAACAAGAGACCAGACGGAACUGCCCUAAAGGUAUUCGUUGCAAUCCUCAAUCCCGAUCACCACAUUCCGCUAAAGGUUAUAACACUCCCGAAGGAGCCACAUCCCUCCAGCCUUUUUAUGACGUUCGAAAUUGAUGUUAACCAGCGGACACGAAAGUGCUCCCCCUCAUCGUGAGACACAUGCUGUGGCGGUUUUGAGGCUCGCCACAACAUGGGUCUCCCGA
RNAcentral lists this ribosomal RNA (289 nucleotides) under uncultured Glomeromycotina. RNAcentral describes it as "partial large subunit ribosomal RNA". The record is from RNAcentral. Lineage: Eukaryota; Fungi; Glomeromycota.